This 5608-nucleotide unclassified non-coding RNA is filed under the name Bactrocera latifrons. RNAcentral describes it as "uncharacterized LOC108978324, transcript variant X3". Lineage: Eukaryota; Metazoa; Arthropoda; Insecta; Diptera; Tephritidae. The record is from RNAcentral.
GUGUAGAAGGAUGUUAUGUUGCUCGAUUUUCUUACGAUAUAAGCACUGAUAAAUCUAGUAAACAAAACAAUAGAACAAAUCGAACAUUAACAGCAAGUUAAAUGCGUGCAUAUGCACAAGUGCACACACGUGAAAUAGAUAAAUAAUAAAUUGAACGAAAAAUUAUUACACACAAUCGAAUACAAUUAAUGUUUAUGGACAGGGGAUGGGGCGGAGACGGCAUGUCGUCAAUGGUGGCAUACGAACAUCAUACUACAAAUUGAAGUGUGUGGAUGAUAUGAUGCGGCAUUAGAAAUCAGUGUUAAUAACAACAAUUACAACACCAACAGCAAUAAUAACAGCAAAACAAAUAAAUCGUCAAUACGAAUUAAGCGUCGGUCGAAAAAGGGGGCUGGCGGUGCUGUGCUUACUGGAGGUGCUGACAGUGGGGACACUGGAGUAGUGCUUAUCAUUGUGGCAAUUGACAUUGCAUGUUGACAGUCAGUCGUUGAAUGGCGCCCGAUCAAGUGUGAAGCGUGCGUGUCGAUAAACGGACGGACAGAAUAGUGAAUCCAAGCAAAUAAAGAAUUAGCGUAACGCGUAACACAGCGAAUAAAGUCGAAAACGGCAAACAAUAGUGAAGUGAAUUUGCAGAGAAUAAUAGAAAAACUAGAUAAAAUAGUACGUUAUAAUAUAUUGCAAAAAAUAAAAAAACUUUUGCGCUGAUUGCUAGUCGUUUUCUAGUUCCUAUUCCAAGCCAUUUUUAAGCAAGUGCAAACAAUUGAAAAUUAUAAAAAUAAAAAAAAAUAUAAAAAAUUCUGUGAAAUUCGCAAAACGCCAACUGUGUGCACUCACGGCAUUUACAAGCUACCUCAAAGUCUAUGCCGCGACAUGUCGAUUUGCGUUCACAAGCCAGCUCGCAGUAAAACUAAUAAGAAAGCACGUCAUUAAGCGUCCAGCAAUCAACAAAUCUAACUUUAUCAACAGCCGGCCAACAGUUCUAAAUGCAUCACUGCUUUUGACUCGUUAGGCGCGUUAGUUACGCUUCUGCCACGGACUUUGUAUGCGCGUCGCGCCUUCAAGAAGUUGCUGCCAAAGCUAGGCAAAUCUAAGCAAAUACUUACAUACGCUAAAUUCAGUGCAAUCACACACCCCCCGUCACAUGAAAUACACUGUAAAGAUCCUGUCUGCCACCGCUUACCGCUUGAGCAAUGAACUGCUAAUGAUGCCGCGUCAACGCCGCUGCCAACAAUCAAUCAAGCGCGCAACCAUAUUUUCAAUAGUUAUAAUAGAAGUUGCUGAGGAGUUAUAUAAUAACGGCGCAUAGUUCCUAACUAGCGUUCUAAUGCUUCAACACGAUCGCCAAUGGUCAAGCGCCAAUGACUUUUCAAAGAUUGCACUCAUUUUCAAUAAUCGCGCGUUGUAACUAGUGCAUGUGGUGUGUGUCUAAUUGGCAAUGAGAAAUUUUUAAAAUCAAAUAUUAUAUACGUAUGUAUGUACAUGAUCAGAAAUACGUUGCUAAAGAAGCUUUUUGCAAAACAAUAGUGUCACUGCAGUACAAUAAGAUGUUUUGAUCGAAGAAUCAGUUUCAAUAAGUGCCGUGUUAAAAAAAAAAAUUGUUAAAAGAUAAUAUAUAAACCUUCUUUAGAAAAAAACUUAAAGUUAGAAAACUUGAAAGUCGCUACUGAAGUGAGAAUUUGUUAAGUAUGGAUUUCCAAAGUGCUAUGGAAACAUUUGCAGAGGCUUGGGUGGCCGCCAAUGCUGGACCACAGAGCCAGGCUUUGGCAUUGACACGCGCUGCAAAUGCCGCCGCCGCUGCUGCAGCCGCCUCAGCCAAUGCGGCUGCCGCCGCCGCUGCGCAGGGCAUCAAACCCGCCGGCACAGCCAGUUUAGCUGAGUUGGCGCUGAAGAAAGAGCAUUCGUUGUCACCACCACACAGCAUCGGCAGCGGCAGCAGCGCAACACCGGGUGCUGCUUCUGUCGCCAAUAUCGAUGAAGGCGGUGGGAGUGGUGUGACUGCGGCCAAUUAUCGGCGACGCCCCUCGCUGCAAGGUGUGCAAGACAAAUUGGCGCAAUUGCAGAUGCAACAUCAGCAGCAACAACAGCAACAUUUACAACAACAGCAACAGCAACAACAUCAGCAGCAAUUGCAUGAGCAGCAUCAACAACAGUUACGUGAACAACUUGCCGCCCACGAUGAGGCGCGUAGUCCGCGUUUCGGCAAUUUGGCGGCUAGCUUGGCUGUUGGUGCCGCCAAUACGGCUAUUGUGCGUUCACGCUCCACAGAUGCCAACUCCUCGCCGAAUGCCACCGCACAUAUGGGCGCAGACAACGAACGUCACAUCUCCUCGACACCUUCUAGUCAGAAUGCCUCAUUGGCCGUCACACCAAAGCUAAUGGAACGUGAUGAACGUGCCGGCUCCGGCAAUGGUGGUGGUGUUGCUAGCGCCAACCCCGGCUUGGUUGGUAGCAUUAGUUGCUUACCACCGGCUGCAUUGAACGCAGUCGCUAGCAGCAUGGCGAGCGGUGUUGCGGGUUCAUUGCAUUCCGGUGUUGCUGGUGUGCCCACACAAGCGGAGCAGUUGUUAUCGUCAACGCCGUCGGCUUUGGAAAGCCGCGCACGUGAAUUUGAUCCAGCGAAAGUAAAUUCGAAAUCGCUACCGUUGCAUUGUGUCGUCGAAUCGGUGCAUUCGUUGCAGGCCUCGCUCGCCAUCGACUCGCGUAGUCCAUGGAAGCGGCGUACGAAUAUCGAGACAGAUAGUUAUGUGAUUAUGGCUGCGGCAACGCCCUGGUCGGAAUUGGUGCAGACUGCGCUACAACGACUGGGCUACUCACAGGAGGCGGUUAACACGGCAAGAGGUUCUAUUAUGAUAAAGAAUUGGAAACCCAUACCUUUGGAAAUGAUCUCCGAUAAUCCAGUUGUGCCCGUCAGUGAUAUUAUAGGCGAGUUGACUUCGGUUAUUACACUUCGUAUAGUCAUUUUGCGUUCCAAACCGUCGACUUUCGGUGAAAUUAAGGAUAAGUUAUUGAAACUGCUCGUUUUGCAAUCUCAUACAGUAUUGCGCUCCACCGGUUGUCCGCUUGAUGAGAUGACGCUCUCACAAAUAUGCCGAACUUCUUACCAGAAUCCGUAUUCUUUUCCCGCCGGCGAGAUUUCCGAUGAGCUACGCCGCAAGUUCGACCAGUGGUGGUCGCAACAACUCACGCCACAAUCUAGUAUUACGCCAAAAAUGUUACCGUUCCUAACAGCGCCGUCAUCAGUGCCGAAUGAAAUGGACUUCCCCGUAGGUUCAGCGGCGGUUGCCGCAGCCGCUGCCGCUGCUGCAGCCGCACAAGCUGGCUUACAUGCUGCCAGCGGUGUGGGCAAUGUGCCGGGCAGUAAUAUACCGGGACUUAAUGCCAGUCGUGAUUCACUACUCAUGAAUGAGGCGUCACAUCAUGGUCCCCAGGGGGCAGCUGCAGCGCAUCACCCCAAUAUGUUGGUACAUCCGGCCAUGCAUCCCUCGAUGCAUCAUCAUCAUCACCAUCCACAUACACAGUAUCCAAAUCAAAAAACACGCAUGCGCACGAGUUUCGAUCCAGAAAUGGAAUUGCCUAAAUUGCAGAAAUGGUUUCAGGAGAAUCCACAUCCCUCGCGUCAGCAAAUACAAACCUAUGUUGUACAGUUGAACGCCUUGGAAUCGCGACGUGGUCGCAAGCCACUGGACGUUAAUAAUGUCGUAUAUUGGUUUAAAAAUGCACGCGCCGCUCAGAAGCGAGCAGAAAUGCGUGGCGGCUUGGCAGCACUUGGUCAUCCCGGCUUGAAUGGCUUUAUGCUCAAUCAGCACGGUCAGUUGGGUCAAAGCUCGAGCAGCAGCGGUGGUAGUCAGCAAAUGAGUAGCAGCAAUAUCAAUUUAGCCAUGUCACACGACUACCUGAAAAGUCCUUUGAGCCUGAAAUCGGAAGAUGUGGACACAAUGUCACAGCACUCGGAUGACAUGGAUGAAGACAACAGCCGGCCCGGCUCACCACAAUUACCACUGUCGCUCACCACGCAUGAACGUAAUCGCAAUUCGCCGCUCGAAGGCGCCGAAGGCAAUAUGGACUUGGGCGAUAGUCGUCGUGAUAACUGUGGUGCCGAAGGUGAGUUUAAGGAUGAAACCAUGUUAAAUGGUUCACUCAAUCAGUCGUUACGCUCAUGUUCGCGCAGCUACACCGAAGAAGAAGCUCAAAUGCAAGCCAAGCCGAAUGACACACAAACCGAUGACCAACACGGUGACAAUUCGAAUGAAGACACCGCUAAUGAGCAGCAAAAUGAAGCAGAACACAAUAAUAGCAAUAACAACAAUACUGCAAACAACCUAAAUAACAACAACAUUAGUAGUAGCAAUAACAAUAAUAGUACUAUUAAUAAUAAUGAGCAAUCCUGUGAUGCCGUUAAUACACAACCGCAAGCACAUUCCUCACCCAAAAUAAGUUCACCCAAAGAGGAGGACGAUGAUCUCGAUUUGGAAGAUGAUGACGAUGACAACGAGAAUGAUGUCUCACAAUUGGAUGAAUAUCGUUCGCUCUCACCAGAUUUGGCUAAUGCCAUGGCACAACGUAAAGAUCUACCCUUUCCAAUUGUGCCCAAUUCGAUGUUCUCCCAGUCAUUCAUGUACAUGAGCCAUUAUAUACCGGGUUUUGGUCAAGCAGCUGCCAAUCAUCCGCACGCGCAUCAUGCCGCUGCUGCAGCAGCUGCUGCCGGUAUGCCACCGAAUGCACUAAUGAACCCGAGCGGUCUCAAUUUGUCGAGCAUGUCGAACGAGGAGCGUCGCAAACGGAAUCGUACUUUCAUCGAUCCAGUUACUGAAGUGCCGAAGUUAGAGCAAUGGUUCGCAUUGAAUACACAUCCAUCACACAAUCUGAUACUGAAGUACACGGAGGAUUUGAACACAAUGCCCUAUAGACAAAAGUUCCCCCGUUUGGAAAGUAAAAAUGUACAGUUUUGGUUUAAAAAUCGACGUGCCAAAUGCAAACGCCUAAAGAUGUCGCUCUACGACAGCUCUCAACUGCAAGGCCUGAACUCCUUCGUUAGCAAAUACGAGGAACGCGAUUAAAGGGUAAAAUUUUACUCGAUAUAUACUAUAGAGUAUUGCAAACAAAAAUAAUUAUACGCCUACAAAUUAGGGUUGUUCAAAAAGUUUUGUUGGGUCAAAAUGUCGAUUAUCAGUGAAAGAGGGACUGAAUGUUGAACCAAAUCACAGCCGCGCAGUAUUGUAAUUGAAUUAUUGCAUUUAAUUUUCAUAGUACUGCAGUUUGAUGAACGUAAAUACAGAUAUAUUUUAAUGACGACCCUAAUGUGCAUAAACUAUACAUAUACAUAGUUUACGGCUGUUAAUAUUAUUUUUUACGCGAUUUAAAAAAAAAGUUAGUUCCACUGUAGCUAUUAUAAAUCAGUACGUUUCUGUUUCUCUUAUGAACCACUGCUCUCACGGGCAACAUGUGCCCAGCAGCCAAUUUCGUGUAAAUAAAGACCCAAUAACAUUUGCUAUAAGAUUGCAUGUUCAUUAUAAAUUAUUUGCAUUAUUCUAGGAAUGUUUGUAUUCAUAUCCUAAAAAUUUAAAAUGACAAAUAACCAAUUAUAAUUUAUGUAGACAUUUUUAUUAAA